RNAcentral lists this transfer RNA (74 nucleotides) under Ailuropoda melanoleuca (giant panda). It matches the Rfam family "tRNA". Rfam says of the family: Transfer RNA (tRNA) molecules are approximately 80 nucleotides in length. Their secondary structure includes four short double-helical elements and three loops (D, anti-codon, and T loops). The record is from Rfam by way of RNAcentral. Lineage: Eukaryota; Metazoa; Chordata; Mammalia; Carnivora; Ursidae.
GCCUGACUAGCUCAGUGGCAUAGAGCAUGGGACUCUUGAUCUUGGAAUUGUGAGUUCAAGCCCCAUGUUGGGUG